Long non-coding RNA from Musca vetustissima, 485 nucleotides. RefSeq lists it as uncharacterized. The record is from RefSeq and is a predicted model, not a curated record. The transcript has 2 exons. NCBI's taxonomy places the organism in Eukaryota, Metazoa, Arthropoda, Insecta, Diptera, Muscidae.
UCGUGUUUACUUGCCAAAGAGUGCAGCUGAAAAUGUGCACCUCCGGUUGGCCACCAGAACUCAAGCGCCGGCCAUGGUGAUGGUCGCUCUCCGCUCGUAGUAAUCGAUCGUGGCAUCAGAAUAAAUGCCGAAUAUUAUCGUAAAAAUAUUCUGGAGUGUGUUUUAAAACCUUGGGCAAGCAAACAUUUUGGCCGCAGACCUUGGACAUUCUAACAGGACUCAGCCACAUCGCACUCAGCACGCGCCACCCAAGAAUGGUUACAAAAUGAGAUUCCUCCCUUCAUUUCCAGGGCACAAUGGCCACCAAAAUCUCCGGAUACCAAUCCGUUGGACUAUUGUGUCUGGCAAGCGACGGUUUCAUUGUCCGUUUGAAGGCCAUAAUUCGUGCCAAAGGUGACCAAUUCGAACAAAUCUAAACUUAUUCUAAAAUUUGAUACUUUUUCUGACAUUUUUUGCUUUCGUUCAAUAAAAUUAAAAAAAAAUUA